This 26064-nucleotide long non-coding RNA is filed under the name Malus domestica (apple). RNAcentral describes it as "long non-coding RNA (MDOM_LNC007304)". The record is from RNAcentral. Lineage: Eukaryota; Viridiplantae; Streptophyta; Magnoliopsida; Rosales; Rosaceae.
CCGGCAUGUCCACCACGAACACGUAGGAGUUCGGGUACUCCUUGACGUCUGCCGGCGUGGAGGCCAUGGCCUUGGCGUCACGGACGUAGGUCCGGGUGGGGGCGUUGGACUUCUCGGCGUCGUCGGCGGCGUCGAUGAUGUGCUGAAGUGUGGAGAAGAGUGGGGCAUCCAAACCUUGGAUUCUGAUAUCCAUUCUUCCCUUCUUGGUGGGUGGAAUUUUCGCUUUUCGGUUUCGAUUUGAAGGCUUUCGUGAAUUUUCGAGUGGGAAUCUGGUCGCUGUUACGGAGGGGGGUGGUGGUUAUGGGCAUUUAUAGGAGAAGGAGUUGAGGGAGUUGAGGGAGGACGGGGGUUAGCGGGGAGGGAAAAGGAAUGUUCUGGAGAAACGUGAAGGGAAGGGAGGAGGUUCCAGUAGGUUCCAUUUCUUCUUUGAGAGUCUAGAACAUUCUGGAAACGUUUACCAGGGGCAGGGCCUCUUUAGCCAUUUAUGAGAUAUUUUGUUGAGAAAGAGCCAAAAAGCUAAAAUAGAUAACAGUACUAAAUUAAAAGAUAAUCCCAAGAAUGCAAAAGAGAAAAAUGUGAAGAAGAUAAUCGGGAAGAGGAUCAUCUCCUGAGCUUAGGAUGGGGAUUCUCUUAACUAGCCUAUUUAAGCAGUUCAAAUCUAAUACAACAGCUUUAAACAGGGAGAUUCUCUAAAAAUUAUAAUUGCAACCGUUGGAUUCAAUUUGAACAGUCCAGAUGGGCUAGUCAGGUGGAUCUCCAUCCUGAGCUCAGAAGAGGAUCAUCUUCUAGAUAAUUGUGCACCUAAUUUUGUUAUGUGAAGAAACAAACGAAAAUUAAUUCGAUAAAUCGAUGGCUAGAGGUAUUCUUCCUUUUUGGUUUAAUAAUCUAUGGUACUUUUUAAAUUCAAACUACAUAAAUAAAUGUUUUUUUUUUUGGUUGAACAUAGAUAAUGAGUUAAAUGACGAGUUUGGUAAACACUCCAUAAAUAAUAUAACAAUGGUCAAUCUACUAGGGUGAACACUCCAUAAAUAAUGUAACAAUGGUCAAUCUAAUGGUGUUUUUGGUGACAAAUCGAGAAUAUAAUAAAUAUGAGCCACCAAAAGACAAGUAAAUUCCUAGUAGCACCACUCUUUAAAUUAUUAUAAUAAUUUCGAAUCUUCUCAUUUUUAAUUAAUAAUAAUAUUAAAAAAAAGUAAACUCUAAAAUAAGGUUAUCGAUUGGCACACAAAUAAGUUAUUAAAAACGAAAACUAACCAAAAGGGCCUGAAAACUUUAAGUUUUAACCAAAAACCAUGUUGUAAGUUUAUUUAAUGGUUAGGAUAAAGCCCAACACUAAAUCAAUCCAAAUAAAAUGGCCCAAACAAUGAGUGUCCGAUUUUGCCCCUGACGGCAAAGCAUUUCUCCGUUUAAUCUCUCUUCCUUUAUGGGUCUCUCUGCUCUGCUGUGGUCUGUCUCCCCCCCAUUUCUUCCUGACACAUCUAAAGAGAGAAAGAGAAGUGAAGGAAGUGAAAGAACAACACAUUUGAAUCCUUUUAUUUCCAAGUUCAAUUCCAAUUCCUCCAUUUUUCAAUCGAAUCGAUCGAAUCUCUCUCCCUCUCUCUCUCGAUCUCUCCACCCAAUAUGUAUUUUUGUUUUCAAUUCAAUUUGAGUUCCACAAUUUUUCAAAUCAAUCGAAUCGAUCGAAUCGGAUAAGCACGGGCGACCUUCUCAGCAUCGAUUCUCUGGAGCUCGAGUUCCCCUGUCAGUAUAACACGUUACCUUUCUCUUUCGAUCUGGUUUUUGUUUUCAAAAAUUUGCAUGUUGCUGUUUCAUUCCUGUUUUCAAUUUACGAUUUUGAAUCUUUGCAGUUGAAUUUCUUUUGCAUACAUCAUUAGUUCUCGAACGCUUGAGAUUUCUAUGAAUCCAAUGAUCUAUUUUGUUUUAAAUAUUGUUUACAUGAUCCUACUGCUGUUUUAUUUUUCUAUUUUGUUUUAAAUAUUGUUUAUAAUUGGUAAUGAGGAUGAGGAUUUGGUUUUCGUGGAUUUCAUGAGAAGUUAAAUUUUAGUUUCGAAAAUUUCGAAAUUGAUUAAAAAGAAAUUAACUUGGCAGCGGACUGAAUAUUCUGCUGUAAUGAUUUUUUGUCUCUAUUUUUCCAUAAAUUGUAGAUUUCAUUACAUUUUGUCAAUCUUGAUAUUGUUGACGGUAAUUGUGGUAAAAAUACUGAUUUUAUCGAUGUAUUUGUUGCUAAUCGCAUUGGGAUUUUUCGGUUGCAGCCGCGGUGGCAUGGGAAGCGGGGAAGCCACUGUCAAUUGAGGAAGUGGAGGUGGCCCCACCGCAGAAACAUGAAGUUCGCUUGAAGGUCCUCUUCACCUCUCUUUGCCACACCGAUGUCUACUUCUGGGAAGCCAAAGUAAAAACUUCAACUUUGAAUGCCAUUUUCUACUUUAAUAUCUGCGUAUCGAUAACUACAUCAUUAAGCAUGAUUCUUCAUAUGUUUAUAGUACUUAGUCCAUAACUUGCAAUUGAUUAGUGAAGUUAAGCAUGAUUUUGAGUGCUAAGUCUAAUGUGAUGAUAAAUCCUAUACAAGGCAUUUUCGUGCUUAGAAUGUCAGCUGUUGGAAUUGAAACAUAUAUGUUGUGUGCCAGGGACAACAACCGCUGUUUCCUCGCAUUUUUUGUCAUGAAGCUGGAGGGUAUGUACACAUCUCUGAAUAUUAAAGCUACAUAAUUUGUAAUUAACUUAGUAUUUGCUUCCAUUUUACGCGGUUUGUUUACUUUUCUAAAUUUUGUUUGCUUAACAUUUUGUGUUUAGAGUUGUGGAAAGCGUAGGCGAGGGCGUAACUGAACUCCAGCCGGGUGACCACGUCCUCCCUGUGUUCACUAGAGAGUGCAAGGAGUGCGCGCAAUGUAAGUCGAAGGAAAGCAACAUGUGUGAUCUGCUGAGGAUCAAUACUGAUAGGGGUACCAUGAUCAAUGAUGGCCAGUCCAGGUUCUCCAAGGAUGGAAAACCAAUUUAUCACUGUUUAGGUACUUCUACCUUCAGUGAAUACACUGUUUGUCAUGUUCGUUCCGUUGCUAAGAUCAACCCGGCUGCUCCCCUUGACAAAGUUUGUGUUCGUAGUUGCGGAAUAUGCACAGGUUCGAAAGACUUCUCCCAUUUUGACAGUGAAAAGUUGGAAUAAGAAAUUAGGGAUUUUCCAACUUUUCUUUCUGGAGUAAUCAAUUAUUGUUUCUGUUGGUGUAUUUGAAGGUUUUGGCGCCACUGUGAAUGUUGCAAAACCGAAAAAGGGUUCAUCUAUUGCCAUCUUUGGAUUGGGAGCUGUUAGUCUUGCUGUAAGUCAUUCUUAUUGCUCCUCUGUUAUGGCUCUUUUGGAUAGUUUGGAGUAGUGUAAGGAUUUUCUUGUUCAUCUUGUUCCAUUUUAGGCUGCUGAAGGUGCAAGGGUUUCGGGCUGUUCAAGGAUAUAGGAGGGAGGAUGGAUGGGAGGGUGAUUGUUCUUGUUUGCAGGGAGUCUCAGUGAAUUGCGUCACAAUUUAUACAUUAGGUUUAUCAAACUGAACUAUUUAUCAAACUAAACCACAUUUUUUUACCAAAGCAAAGUGAACUAUUUAUCAAAAUGAACUAUUUAUCAAAUUGAACUAGAAAACCACACUUUUUUACCAAAGCAAGCUGAACUAUUUAUCAAACUGAACUAGAAAAUCACACUUUUUUACCAAAGCAAACUGAACUAUUUAUCACACUAAACCACAUUUUUUUACCAAAGCAAACUGAACUAUUUAUCAAAGUGAACUAUUUAUCAAACCAAACCACAUUUUUUUACCAAAGCAAACUGAACUAUUUAUCAAACUGAACUAGAAAACCACAUUUUUUUACCAAAGCAAAUUGAACUAUUUAUUAAAUUAAACCACACUUUUUUACCAAAACAAAUUGAACUAUUUAUCAAAGUGAACUAUUUAUCAAACCAAACCACAUUUUUUUACCAAAGCAAACUGAAUUAUUUAUCAAACUAAACCACACUUUUUUACCAAAGCAAACUGAACUAUUUAUCAAACUGAACUAGAAAAACAUAUUUUUUUACCAUAGCAAACUAAACUAUUUAUUAAACUAAACCACAUUUUUUUACCAAAGCAAACUGAACUAUUGAUCAUCUCCAGGACCAUUGUUUUAUCAAUCAAUAGUCAAGACCGUACUGGCAAAUCUUUAAACCCACCAACUAAAAAUGAAAUUGAAAUAAUUUUCAAUGAAAGGGUUCCUACAGAAAACAUUUAUACAGGUUCUAAGCGGUAAACAAAAUUAAGGUGGAGAUUGGUAAUUUGAACAACCUAAUUCAAAUAAGUAAAAAAAAAAAAAUAUAUAUAUAUAUAUAUAUAUAUAUAUAUAAAUAAAAGAAAGUGGGAAUCGAUGGGUUUCUCAAGCCUAUGAAAAAGACGUCCCUUCCGACUUCCAGGAGCAAGGGGGAGGGCAAGAAGAAAACAAGAAAAAUAAAAAGGAGAAACCAACGGCAAAUUCAAAAAAAAAAGAGAGAGAGAAACUGGCUAACAAAAUGGCAUUCAAAUUCUAAACGGUUUGGCUAACGGAAGUGGUGUUCCGUCAAGGGCAAGGAUUGGAAAAAAAAAUUGUUUUGCACGCUGGGCUUACUUCCAGCCCGUGUGCUCUUUAGUUAGUCUUUUAUUUCUUAUAGUUUGUGUCCUUUUUCAUUAAAAUUCAUGUCCUUUUUAUUAAAUAAAGUUAUUAUGUGGUUUUUGGUUAAAUUAAAGUUAGUCAAAACCUUUUUCAUUAAAGCUCCCUUAUUAAAAAGGCUGGUUUAUAUUUAAAUUGGAAGAUUACAAUAUAUAUCUGAAGUCAAGACGGCACCCAGCUUCCUUUCCUUCUUAUUCCUUUUAUGAAAGACCAAAAUGAAAAACAGAAACAAAGUAUACGAAUUUACAGCAGACACAGAAAACCAAAUAACACGAUGCAUAUAUACUUCAUCUACAUAUAUAUACCGCCACCGCCACUGCCACUCAGUAGUAUCCUCACGUACACUGAUCAUGCACUGCCAUCAAAGCAAGCCGACCUCUGCCUGCUCGUCAAGCUCUUCAACUUUGCCCUUCAUACCCACCGGCACCACGUUCCCCACCGCCUUGUCCACCUUGCCUGCCAGGUUGCCCACCUUGCCCACCGCCUUGCCAACCACAUUCCUCUUGGCCACCUUCUUCCCAGCCUUGACCACCUUUGCCUCCCUGGCCACCGCCUUCCCUACCACGUUCCUCUUGGCCACCUUCUUCGGAUUAUUUCAGAGAUAAAAAUUGAUGCAUACCACUUUUGCCAGUUCCGGAAGUGGAGAGAGCUGUUUACAGCACAUGCUUUGUCAACUAGUGGUGGAUCUAGGAAAUAAUAUUAGAGGGUCAGUAAGAAUAGAAUACGUAGCACAUAAUUUUUUUUUUACCAGAAAUAGUAUAAAAAAAGUCGUACCCAGUGCACAAGGCUCCCGCUUUACGCAGGGUCUGGAAGAGGUGAAUGUCGGUUAACCUUACGCCCAUUUUAUGGAGAGGCUGCUCCCAAGUCUCGAACCCGAGACCUACCGCUCAUGAACCAGAAAUAGUAUGCAUAUCAUUAUUUAAUCGAGUCUUGGUAAACCUGAAGUCAUUUGGAAAAACAUAUUGCAAACCUAUUAAUGCCCCAUUUACGUGAGUAACUAACAUGUUCCAAAGCUACUUCCAUAUGAAUGCUUAACAAAAAAACAAACUUAUCUUGAACGCACUAAAAAUGUUUGAUAUCAUUGCAUCUCAUUAAUAUGGUUGUCCAAGAAUGAUAAUGUUUUGUUAUUUAUUGAGAUCACCAUUUCAUUCACUCUUCAUUCACAUUCUAUCAAACAAUUGGAAGACAUGGAUGGAACCAACUCUAAUCUUAAAAAUAGCAACAUCAAGGUAUCCAUGAAUAUACACUAAAGCUCGGAAGAUCGACACUCAAAGUAUCCAUAAACGUUCACCGAAGUUCGAAGGGUUAGCUGACCCCCUACCCCUCAAUGCAUCCGCCACUACUGUCAACCAAGUCGGAAACGAAGAUGUCAUUAAAUCUGUGCCACCACUUGCUGCAUCCAAUGGUUUCCAACUAGAAACUCCCUUCCCGGAAUGGCACCGCCGUGGUGUCCUCAGUGUCAGUGGCAUCCUUAAAUCUUGACAAAAAUGUUGAGAUAUUGGUAUCUCAACAUUGCUCUGUUUUCUAGGUCCGGCGACCAAUCAGAGGCGCCUAACGGAACCGGCAUAGGCUCGAACAGAACCUCAAAGAGGCAGAGAAAUUAUGCAGUACCUCAUCUCAAUCUGUUUAAACUUUAAAAUGCUGACACACGGAACAAAGUAUAUAUGGUGUAAUUCCAAACACACUCAUAUUACGAACUCUGUUUGAUUACGUUCGUAAAAUGCUCGGUUAUUCGAGUUAUUUGUUCCGUUGAUUCGCGUUUUUGAAGCCAAUUUUAUGAUAACAUAAACAAAAAUGGAAAUAAAACACAUAAUAUGCUUCAUUGAUCUGAAAAACCAACAAGCUUAUAAUACCACAACACAAACAUAACAAACACAUCCAGAAUACACCAACGAAGCCCUAAAAUCCACACACAAACCCUUAUGUUAUAAUCCCUGCACGAUUAUUCUCAUAACCCAAAUCACAGAAACAGUUUCAAGCAAUCUUGACCUCGAUUGUCUUCGGCUUCUUCGGCUCCGGCGGCGGCAGCUUCUGCACUGUGACAGUCAAAACCCCAUCCUGGCAAACAGCAGAAAUCGCAUCCACAUUAGCAUUCUCCGGCAACACAAACUUCCUCAUGAACUUGCCGACCCUCCGCUCCAUCCUCACGUACUUAGCCCCUUCCUUCUCCUCCUCCCGCUUCCUCUCGCCGCUGAUCAGAAGCACAUUGUCGUCCUCCACCUGGACCUUGAUGUCCCCGGACUUCAGUCCCGGCAUGUCCACCACGAACACGUAGGAGGUCGGGUACUCCUUGACGUCUGCCGGCGUGGAGGCCAUGGCCUUGGCGUCGCGGAAGUAGGUCCGGGUGGGGGCGUUGAAGGAUUUCUCGGCGUCGUCGGCGGCGUCGAUGAUGUGCUGAAGUGUGGAGAAGAGCGGGGCAUCCAAACCCUGGAUUCUGACAUCCAUUCUUCCCUUCUUGGUGGGUGGAAUUUUUGCUUUUCGGUUUUGAUUUGAAGGCUUUUGUGAGUUUUCGAGUGGGAAUCUCGUCGCUGUUACGGAGGGGAGUAGUGGUUGUGGGUAUUUAUAGGAGGAGUUGAGGGAGGACGGGGGUUAGCGGGGAGGGAAAAUGAAUGUUCUGGAGAAACGUGGAAGGAAGGGAGGAGGUUCCAGUAGGUCCCAUUUCUUCUGUGAGCGUCUAGAACAUUCUGGAAGCGUUUACUAGGUAGGGGCAGGGCCCCUAUAGCCAUUUAUGAGAUAUUUUGUUGGGAAAGAACCAAAAAGCUAAAAUAGAUAACAGUACUAAAUUAAAAGAUAAUCACCAAAAAGCAAAAGAGAAAAAUGUGACGAAGAUAAUCGUGCACUUAAUUUUGUUAUGUGAAGAAACAAACGAAAAUUAAUUCGAUAAAUCGACGGCUAGAGGUAUUCUCCCUGUUUGGUUCAAUCAUUUAGGGCACUUUUCAAAUUACAUAGAUAAUGAGUUAAAUGACUAGUUUGAUUAACAUUUCAUAAAUAAUAUAACAAUGGUCAAUCUACUGGGACGAACACUUCAUAAAUAAUGUAACAAUGGUCAAUCUAAUGAUAUUCUUGGUGACGAAUUGAGAAUAUAUUAAAUAUGAGCCACCAAAAGACAAGUAAAUUCCUAGUAGCACCACUUUUUAAAUUAUUAAAUAAUAUUAUUAUUAGAAAAAAAAGUAAACUCUAAAAUAAGGUUAUCAAUUGGUACACAAAUAAGAGCUCGUUUUGAUGUGCUUUUAAAAUAAUUGAAAAUACUUUUAAAGAAAAUAUUUGUAGGUUCCAAAAGCACUUAAGUGUUUUCUACAAAAAUAACCAUUUAUGUGCUUCUUUCAAGAAGCACUUUAUGUGCUUUUCUAAGAUUUACUACUAUUUUUACUAAGGAUUGUUUCCAAAAAUAUUUUCACUAAAAGCGCUUUCAGUCAUUUUAAAAACAUAUCCAAACGAAUCCCAAGUUAUUAAAAAUGCUGGUUUUAUAUCCAAAUUGGAAGAUUACAAUAUAUAUCUGAAGUCAAGACGGCACCCACCUUCCUUUCCUUCUUUUUCUUUUUAUAUGAAAGACCAAAAUGAAAAACAGAAACAAAGCAUACAAAUUUACAGCAAACACAGAAAACCAAAUAGGCCAACAACAACAACAACAACAACAAAGCCUUUUCCCACUAAGUGGGGUCGGCUAUAUGAAUCCUAGAACGCCAUUGCGCUCGGUUUUGUGUCAUGUCCUCCGUUAGAUCCAAGUACUCUAAGUCUUUUCUUAGAGUCUCUUCCAAAGUUUUCCUAGGUCUUCCUCUAUCCCUUCGGCCCUGAACAUCUGUCCCGUAGUCACAUCUUCGAACCGGAGCGUCAGUCGGCCUUCUUUGCACAUGUCCAAAUCACCGGAGCCGAUUUUCUCUCAUCUUUCCUACAAUUUCGGCUACUCCUACUUUACCUCGGAUAUCCUCAUUCCCAAUCUUAUCCUUUCUCGUGUGCCCACACAUCCCACAAAGCAUCCUUAUCUCCGCUACACCCAUUUUGUGUACGUGUUGAUGUUUCACCGCCCAACAUUCUGUGCCAUACAACAUCGCUGGCCUUAUUGCUGUCCUAUAAAAUUUUCCCUUGAGCUUCAGUGGCCUACGACAGUCACACAACACGCCGGAUGCACUCUUACACUUCAUCCAUCCAGCUCGUAUUCUAUGGUUGAGAUCUCCAUCUAAUUCUCCGUUCUCUUGCAAGAUAGAUCCUAGGUAGCGAAAACGGUCGCUUUUUGUGAUCUUCGCUAGAUUGCUCCGGUCAUUAGUGUGGAUAAGUAUAUAAAUGGAUAGAGAUAGGAAAGCAAACACAAGAUGUACGUGCUUCACCCAGAUUGGCUACGUCCACGUAAUAGAAGAGUUCUCAUUAAUUGUGAAGGGUUUACACAAGUACAUAGGUUCAAACUCUCCUUUAGUGAGUACAAGUGAAUGAUUUAGUACAAAUGACAUUAGGAAAUAUUGUGGGAGAAUGAUCUCGUAAUCACGAAACUUCUAAGUAUCGGAGUGUGGUGUCGUCUUGACUUGCCUUAUCUGUCUCAUAGGUAGAUGUGGCAUCUUCUCUGGAAGUACUCUUCCUCCAUCCAGGGGUGGUAUCUUUAACUGGUGGAGAUGCACAAGGUAAUGUAUCAAUUUCACUUGAAGCUUACUUGUAGUUUCAGGCUUGGUCAAGCGCGAUACAAACCAUGUAGUAGGAGUCCCCCAAGUCGCCGAGCUAGGGGGUCUGCUGAAAGAGGUGACAGACAAGGUAAGCAAUCAGAGCUCCGACUAAUUGUUCACCUUCUCCCCAUCUUGCAGCCGCAUGAAGGAUAAAGAGAAGAAAAAUGAGAAGAGAUGAUAUGAGAUACUUUUGCUUUUGAAGAAGUAACUUUCCACAGGCUUAUUCUUAAACUGAGCUGGAGGGUUUUCUGGUUUCCUCCAGAGUAUAAGGCCGACUGAAGAAUUUGAGGGUCAAAACAAGUCCAUCAAAUCUAGAGUACGUUCCACCCUGCUGAUAUGGGAUACUUUUGCUUUUGACAGAGUAAUGGAUGUAUCGGCACGUGUGCUGUUACACUUGUCUCCACAUGCUUCCUUGUAUCCUUCGCACUUGCCCUAUCUGUUCCUCAAGCAGAUGCGGAAUCUUCCCUGGAAACAUAAGAUGUUGAAGAUGAGUACUCGAGAGCAAUACCAGGUAAGUAAUCAGGUAAGGGGUUCCAGGCAGUCAGUUCCUGGCUGGAAGCUUGAUUCCAAGUGCUGACUGAUUGCUCUCUUUCUCCUUGUCUUGCAGGUAAAAACAAGGCCAAAGGAAAAGACAGGGAAAAAGCAUGAUAUGGGAUACUCUUGCUUUUAAUCCUGAUGAUAUGAGAUAUUCUUGCUCUAGUAUAGCUUGUUUACAGAGGUAUUAUCGGGGGGAAAGAAAGCUGAAUAUUUCGAAAGGCUUCGUUGGGAGUGCCCUCUCAGAUAUGAUGAAGGGUUGAGCAUUUUUGCAGGUCUGCCUGUCCGUUGGGGAUGGAGGUCGACAUAUAUAGGAGUCUCCCUAACAACAAGUAGUAAUGCUAUUCAUUUACCCUGCUUGGUCAUAGCACGGUAGUGGGAGCUGCCAGUUUCACAUGUUUUAACUCUGUCAGAGCACUUUGAAAAAGUGGUCUGUGGUAUCUGGCUCUCGAGAUUCGGAGAACGAUGCCUCUUCGAUUUUUGAGAAAGCAAUUAUGCUGGGGGUCUAGCUCUCGAGAUUCGGAGAGCAGUGUCUCUUCGAUUUUUGAGGAAGUAAUCAUGUUAGGAGUCUGGCUCUCGAGAUUCGGAGGGCGGUGCCUCUUCGAUUUUGGAGCAAGCAAUCAUGUUGGGAGUGUUGUCUCGAAUGUGAGUAAAGGUUGGGCAUGUUUGCUAGUCUACCUUGCCCCGAAGCACAAAGGUUGACACACAGGGACUUUCCAAUUAUCUAGCAAUGGUACUGUUCCUUUACCCUCUCUUCGCUUUUGAGAAAGUAGUCAUGUUGGGAGUCUGGCUCUCGAGAUUCGGAGGACGGUGCCUCUUCGAUUUUGGAGCAUGCAAUCUUGUUGGGAGUGUUUUCUCGAAUGUGAGUAAAGGUUGGGCAUGUUUGCGAGUCUACCUUGCCACGAAGCACAGAUGUUGACACACAGGAACUUUCCAAUUAUCCAGCAAUGGUACUGUUCCUUUACCCUUGUGGGUAAUAAUAUGGUAGCUAGACCUUCAAAAUUUAUGUGUCUAAACUUUGUUAGUGCUGUUUCUUUGCUAUUCUUUUACCUUUCUUGGUCAGAGCGAUGUAGUGGGAGCUGCAAGCUUCACGUGCUCAACUUUGGCAGAGAACUUUGGCAAAGUUAUCUGUGGUACCCAUGAGCUAUUGUUGCGUGUGGGAAGUGGGUGAUUGAACAGUAAGAUUCAUGUGCUUUCUACUUCACCAGAAGUCUUCGACAGAAUGCCCAUAAUUUCUGCAAAGCUGAGUGUGCGUGUGACAGGUGCUGACAAGGCUAGAAUAGUAGGUGCCUCUUCGAUUUCUGAGAUCGGCCCUCGUGGUAUCUGAGCAGCCCAGCUUUUGAGAAAGCGAGCGCCUCUUCGAUUGAUUCGGAGAACGAUGCCUCAUCGAUUUUUGAGAAAGCAAUCAUGCUGGGGGUCUGGCUCUCGAAGAUUCGGGGAGCAGUGUCUCUCCGAUUUUUGAGAAAGUAAUCAUGUUGGGAGUCUGGCUCUCGAGAUUCGGAGGGCGGUGCCUCUUCGAUUUUGGAGCAAGCAAUCUUGUUGGGAGUGUUUUCUCGAAUGUGAGUAAAGGUUGGGCAUGUUUGCUAGUCUACCUUGCUACGAAGCACAGAGGUUGACACACAGGGACUUUCCAAUUAUCCAGCAAUGGUACUGUUCCUUUACCCUCUCUUCGAUUUUUAAGAAAGUAGUCAUGUUGGGAGUCUGGCUCUCGAGAUUCGGAGGACGGUGCCUCUUCGAUUUUGGAGCAAGCAAUCUUAUUGGGAGUGUUUUCUCGAAUGUGAGUAAAGGUUGGGCAUGUUUGCUAGUCUACCUUGCCACGAAGCACAGAGGUUGACACACAGGGACUUUCCAAUUAUCCAGCAGUGGUACUGUUCCUUUACCCUUGUGGGUAAUAAUAUGGUAGCUAGACCUUCAAAAUUUAUGGGUCUAAACUUUGUUAGUGCUGUUUCUUUGCUAUUCUUUUACCCUUCUUGGUCAGAGCGAUGUAGUGGGAGCUGCAAGCUUCACGUGCUCAACUUUGGCAGAGAACUUUGGCAAAGUUAUCUGUGGUACCCAUGAGCUAUUGUUGCGUGUGGGAAGUGGGUGAUUGAACAGUAAGAUUCAUGUGCUUUCUACUUCACCAGAAGUCUUCGACAGAAUGCCCAUAAUUUACACAAAGCUGAGUGUGCGUGUGACAGGUGCUGACAAGGCUGGAAAAGUAGGUGCCUCUUCGAUUUCUGAGAUCGGCCCUCGUGGUCUCUAGGGAGCCCAGCUUUUGAGAAAGCGAGCGCCUCUUCGAUUUCUGAGAUCGACCUUCAUGGUCUUUGAGCAGCCCAACUUUUGAGAAAGCAAACGCCUCUUCGAUUUCUGAGAUCAACCCUCGUGAUCUCUAAGCAGCCCAGCUUUUGAGAAAGCAAACGCCUCUUCGAUUUCUGAGUAGGCGCCUCUUCGAUUUCUGAAGCUCCGUCGAGUGCAGAUUUUUAUAGGGGCUGGCAUUAAGUUCCAAAGCACACUUGAAUCUCCACCAGUAGAAGCUUCAUUCUUGCACUUCUAAGAUCUUGAUUUGUCCGACCUCUUCUCUCUUCAACACCUUUGAAAAUGUCUGGCCCCUCCGACCGUCGUUUUGACUUGAACCUUGUUGAAGAGGCAGCCCCGCCUUCUCCAGACAACAUAUGGCGUUCAUCCUUCGUCUCCCCUACUGGUCCUCUUACCGUUGGGGAUUCCAUGAUGAAGAAUGAUAUGACCGCUGCGGUGGUGGCCAGGAACCUUCUCACUCCCAAAGAUAACAGACUACUUUCCAAACGGUCUGAUGAGUUAGCUGUUAAGGAUUCGCUGGCUCUCAGUGUUCAGUGUGCAGGUUCUGUGUCUAAUAUGGCCCAACGCCUAUUUGCUCGAACCCGCCAAGUUGAAUCAUUGGCGGCUGAAGUGAUGAGUCUCAAACAGGAGAUUAGAGGGCUCAAGCAUGAGAAUAAACAGUUGCACCGGCUCGCACAUGACUAUGCUACAAACAUGAAGAGGAAGCUUGACCAGAUGAAGGAAACUGAUGGUCAGGUUUUACUUGAUCAUCAGAGAUUUGUGGGUUUGUUCCAAAGGCAUUUAUUGCCUUCGUCUUCUGGGGCGGUACCGCGUAAUGAAGCUCCGAAUGAUCAACCUCUGAUGCCUCAUCCUUCUAGGGUUCUGUCCAGUACUGAGACUCCAAAUGAUCCCCCUCCGGUGCCUUCUCUUUCUGGGGCUCUACCGACUGCUGAGACUUCUCCUAAGCAACCUUUGUGAAGGCUCCCUCUUGUGUGUUUAUUUUGACUCAUGUAUAUGUACAUAUUUGUAGCUUAUCGGGGAUAUCAAUAAAUAAGCUUUCCUUCAUUUCAACGUAUUGUGUUAAAUACACCAAAGCCUUCUUCGCUAAGUUCUUUGAAUUUUCUUUUGUUGAAGCUUGUAUGUUGAAGCUUUCUGGGUGGAGCAUGUAGGUUGGGGUAGUGUUCCCUUAAUUUCCCGAGUGAGGAAAACUUCUCGGUUGGAGACUUGGAAAAUCCAAGUCACUGAGUGGGAUCGGCUAUAUGAAUCUUAGAACGCCAUUGUGCUCGAUCCUGAGUCAUGUCCUUCGUUAGAUCCAAGUACUCUAAGUCUUUUCUUAGAGUCUCUUCCAAAGUUUUCCUAGGUCUUCCUCUACCCCUUCGGCCCUGAACCUCUGUCCCAUAGUCGCAUCUUCUAAUCGGAGCGUCAGUAGGCCUUCUUUGCACAUGUCCAAACCACCGUAACCGAUUUUCUCUCAUCUUUCCUUCAAUUUCGGCUACUCCUACUUUACCCCGGAUAUCCUCAUUCCUAAUCUUAUCCUUUCUCGUGUGCCCACACAUCCAACGAAGCAUCCUCAUCUCCGCUACACCCAUUUUGUGUACGUGUUGAUGUUUCACCGCCCAACAUUCUGUGCCAUACAGCAUCGCCGGCCUUAUUGCCGUCCUAUAAAAUUUUCCCUUGAGCUUCAGUGGCAUACGGCGGUCACACAACACGCCGGAUGCACUCUUCCACUUCAUUCAUCCAGCUUGUAUUCUGUGGUUGAGAUCUCCAUCUAAUUCUUCGUUCUUUUGCAAGAUAGAUCCUAGGUAAUGAAAACGGUCGCUCUUUGGUAUUUCUUGAUCUCCGAUCCUCACCCCUAACUCGUUUUGGCCUCCAUUUGCACUGAACUUGCACUCCAUAUAUUCUGUCUUUGAUCGGCUUAGGCGAAGACCUUUAGAUUCCAACACUUCUCUCCAAAGGUUAAGCUUUGCAUUUACCCCUUCUUGAGUUUCAUCUAUCAACACUAUAUCGUCUGCGAAAAGCAUACACAAAGGAAUAUCAUCUUGAAUAUGUCCUGUUAACUCAUCCAUUACCAACGCAAAAAGGUAAGGACUUAAGGAUGAGCCUUGAUGUAAUCCUACAGUUAUAGGAAAGCUUUCGGUUUGUCCUUCAUGAGUUCUUAUGGCAGUCUUUGCUCCUUCAUACAUAUCCUUUAUAGCUUGGAUAUAUGCUACUCGUACUCAUUUCUUCUCUAAAAUCCUCCAAAGAAUGUCUCUUGGGACCCUAUCAUACGCUUUUUCCAAAUCUAUAAAGACCAUGUGUAAAUCCUUUUUCCCAUCUCUAUAUCUUUCCAUCAAUCUUCGUAAGAGAUAGAUUGCCUCCAUGGUUGAGCGCCCUGGCAUGAACCCGAAUUAGUUGUCCGAAACCCGUGUCUCUUGCCUCAAUCUAUGCUCAAUGACUCUCUCCCAGAGCUUCAUUGUAUGACUCAUUAGCUUAAUACCCCUAUAGUUCAUGCAAUUUUGUACGUCACCCUUAUUCUUGUAGAUAGGCACCAAAGUGCUCGUUCGCCACUCAUUUGGCAUCUUCUUCGUUUUCAAAAUCCUAUUGAAAAGGUCAGUGAGCCAUGUUAUACCUGUCUCUCCCAAAAGUUUCCACACUUCGAUUGGUAUAUUGUCUGGGCCUAUUGCUUUUUUAUGCUUCAUCUUCUUCAAAGCUACAACCACUUCUUCCUUCCGGAUUCGACGAUAAAAAGAGUAGUUUCUACACUCUUCUGAGUUACUCAACUCCCCUAAAGAAGCACUCAUUUCAUGUCCUUCAUUGAAAAGAUUAUGAAAAUAACCUCUCCAUCUGUCUUUAACCGCGUUCUCUGUAGCAAGAACCUUUCCAUCCUCAUCCUUGAUGCACCUCACUUGGUUUAGGUCCCUUGUCUUCUUUUCCCUUGCUCUAGCUAGUUUAUAGAUAUCCAACUCUCCUUCUUUGGUAUCUAGUCGUUUAUACAUAUCGUCGUAAGCCGCUAACUUAGCUUCUCUGACAGCUUUCUUCGCCUCUUGCUUCGCUUUUCUAUACCUUUCACCAUUUUCAUCGGUCCUCUCCUUGUAUAAGGCUUUACAACAUUCCUUCUUAGCCUUCACCUUUGUUUGUACCUCCUCAUUCCACCACCAAGAUUCCUUUUGGUGUGGGGCAAAGCCUUUGGACUCUCCUAAUACCUCUUUUGCUACUUUUCGGAUACAACUAGCCAUGGAAUCCCACAUUUGGCUAGCUUCCCCCUCUCUAUCCCACACACAUUGGGUGAUUACCUUCUCUUUGAAAAAUGACUUGUUUUUCUUCUUUUAGAUUCCACCAUCUAGUCCUUGGGCACUUCCAAGUCUUGUUCUUUUGUCUUACUCUUUUGAUAUGUACAUCCAUCACCAACAAGCGAUGUUGAUUAGCCACGCUCUCUCCUGGUAUAACUUUGCAAUCCUUACAAGUUAUACGAUCCCCUUUCCUCAUUAGAAGAAAAUCUAUUUGUGUUUUUUUACGACCCACUCUUGUAGGUGAUCACAUGUUCUUCUCUCUUCUUAAAGAAGGUGUUGGCUAAGAAGAGAUCAUAUGCCAUUGCAAAAUCCAAGAUAGCUUCCCCAUCCUCGUUUCUCUCCCCAAAAUCAUGGCCACCAUGAAAACCUCCAUAGUUGCCUGUCUCCCUGCCCACGUGUCCAUUUAAAUCUCCUCCUAUAAAUAACUUCUCCGUCUGAGCAAUUCCUUGCACCAAGUCUCCAAGAUCUUCCCAAAAUUUCUCCUUCGAACUCGUAUCCAACCCUACUUGAGGUGCGUACGCACUAAUCACAUUGAUAAGUUCUUGUCCUAUUACAAUCUUGAUUGCCAUGAUUCUAUCUCCUACCCUCUUGACAUCUACAACAUCUUGUACCAAGGUCUUGUCCACGAUGAUGCCAACACCAUUUCUCGUUCUAUUUGUGCCCGAAUACCAAAGUUUAAACCCUGAGUUUUCUAGAUCCUUUGCCUUACUACCAACCCACUUAGUUUCUUGUAGGCACAUAAUAUUUAUCCUUCUCCUCACCAUAACUUCCACUACUUCCAUAGAUUUUCCCGUUAAGGUUCCUAUAUUCCACGUUCCUAAACGCAUUUUGCUCUCUUGAACUCUACACUUCUGUCCUAGCUUCUUCACCCUCCCCCGUCUAAUAGGAUCAAAGUACUUCUUUUGUGUGUCCCGGGUAAAGUUGAUAGGAGCAUAUGCUCCCAAACAACUUUGAGUGGAGUCGUUCGAAAAGAAGUUUCUAUGGCCCCCUUGCUCAUUUAACACUGCAUCCGGGUGCCGAUGGAGAUACAGCGACCCUUGCUCGCUUAUCACUGUGCUCGGGCCACACAGCGCGCCACUUACGGGUGACGCCCUAGCUUUAACGCGAUUUUGUUCUGGAUUCAUUUUCAUAAGGAUUCGACGUGAUCAUGGAGUGCCGGCUGUCGACUACCUGACGCCCUCCCCUCUCUCCUUUAUCCGGGCUUGGGACCGGCCAUGUAAGACAUAGGCGGAGUUGAAAACCAAAAUAGGCCAAAUUGAAUUAUUCAUCCUUGUGGUCAUAGGAAACUUGCAUGAUGACCCCGUGAUGAAAAAAUUAGGAAUUAAACCCCUGUGGUCAAGAAUGUUAGAAAAUUUAGUCCAAAAGUAAGAUUUCUGUUAAAUGACUGUUAAAAGUAUGGGUAAAACUGUAUUUUCAGUUCCAAUUGACAUUUAAAAUAAAUAAAUAUUUUUUAUAACAAUUAACAAAAAAAAUAAUGCUUAAUUUUUUAAAUAAAAAAAAGCCCCAAUUCAAUGUCAAUUGAAACUGAAAAUACAGUUUUACUCCAACUUUUAAGUUUUAACAGUCCUUUAACAGAAAUCUUACUUUUGGACUAGAUUUGCUAACAUUUUAGACCAUCGGGAUUUAAUUCCUAGUUUUUUCACCAUAGGGGUCAUCAUGCAAGUGUCCUAUGACCAUGGGAUGAACAAUUCAAUUUGGCCAACCAAAUAACACGAUGCAUAUAUACUUCAUCGACAAAUAUAUAUAUACCGCCACCGCUACUCAGUAGUAUCCUCAUGUACACUGAUCAUGCACUGCCAUCAGAGCAAGCCGAUCUCUGCCUGCUUGUCAAGCCCUUCAACUUUGCCAUUCAUACCCACCGGCACCACGUUCCCCACCGCCCUGUCCACCUUGCCAACCACAUUCCUCUUGGCCACCUUCUUCCCAGCCUUGACCACCUUUGCCUCCCUAGCCACCGCCUUCCCUACCACGUUCCUCUUGGCCACCUUCUUCGGAUUAUACUCGGAUUAUUUCAACAAUAUAAAUUAAUGCAUACUGCUUUUGCCAGUUCCGGAAGUGGAGAGAGCUGUUUACAGCACAUGCUCUGUUGAAGGAUCCAGAAAAUAAUAUUAGGAGGAUCAGUAAGAAUAAUACGCAAUAUUUUUUACCAAAAAUAGCAUGCAUAUCGCUAUUUCAUCGAGUCUUAGGUCGUCUAAGAUCAUUUAGAAAUGAAUGCCCCCUCAUUUACGAGAGUAACUAACAUCUUCUAAGACUGCUCCCAUAUAAAUGCUUAACAAAAAAACACACUAACAAUGUUUGAUACCAUUACAUCCCAUUAAUAUAUUUAUCUAAGAAUAAUGAUGUUUUGUUAUUCACUGAGAUGAUCAUUUCAUUCACUCUUCUUUCAGACAUUUUAUCAAAUAGUUAGAGAGCAUGAAUGAAGCCAACUUUAAUCUUCAAAAAGGCACACUGAAAUUCGAAGCAUCAGCACCUAAGAUGUACCCAUGAACGUUCAUCGAAGUUGGAGAGGUCAGCUGACCCCUGUGCAUCCGCCACUGCUGUGAACUAAGUCGGAAACGAAGAUGUCAUUAAAUCUGUGCCACCACUUGCCGCAUCCAAUGGUUUCCAACUAGAAACUCCCUUCCCGGAAUGGCACGGCCGUGGUGUCCCCAGUGUCGAGGGCGGUAAGUGGCAUGCUUAAAUCUUGACAAAAUGUUGAGAUAUUGGUAUCUCAACAUUGCUCUGUUUUCUAGGUCCGGCGAUGAAUCAGAAGCGCCUAACGGAACCGGCAUAGGCUCAAACAGAACCUCGAAGAGGCUGAGGAAUUACGCAGUGCCUCAUCCCAAUCUGUUUAAAAUGCUAACACACGGAACAACGUAUAUGGCGUAAUUCCAAACACACAUAUUACGAACUUUGUUUGAUUACGUUCGUAAAAUGCUCGGUUAUUCGAGUUAUUUGUUCCGUUGAUUCGCGUUUUUGAAGCCAAUUUUAUGAUAACAUAAACAAAAAUGGAAAUAAAACACAUAAUAUGCUUCAUUGAUCUGAAAAACCAACAAGCUUAUAAUACCACAACACAAACAUAACAAACACAUCCAGAAAACACCAACGAAGCCCUAAAAUCCACACACAAACCCUUAUGUUUUAUAAUCCCUGCACGAUUAUUCUCAUAACCCAAAUCACAGAAACAGUUUCAAGCAAUCUUGACCUCGAUUGUCUUCGGCUUCUUCGGCUCCGGCGGCGGCAGCUUCUGCACCGUGACAGUCAAAACCCCAUCCUGGCAAACAGCAGAAAUCGCAUCCACGUUCGCGUUCUCCGGCAACACAAACUUCCUCAUGAACUUGCCGACCCUCCGCUCCAUCCUCACGUACUUAGCCCCUUCUCUCUACAGAAGCAUCAAACUAAUGUAGUUUAGAUGUCCAUAUCUUCUAUGCCACAACUGAGAUGACUCUUCAACAGUUGCUCUAUUAGCCAUGUGAGGAUUAACAUAUUCCAAACUUAAUGGAAAGCAUCUGUUUCCUUUCAUUGGAACACUUGCAAUCAGAUCUUCCAUCUGUCUAUCUCCAUAAAUAUCAACCAUGUAAUCACCAAAACACAAGCCAAUGUCCAUGUUCUACCAUCUGCCUUACACUCAAUAAGUUUUUCAUCCAAUCUAGGUACAAUCAUAACUUCUUUAAUAUACCUAGUCACACCUUUCAUCUCAAUCACCAAUGUGCCUUUGCCUAUUGACUGCACUAAAUCUCCAGUGCCCAUUUUAACUCUACACUUCACAUUCUUAUCAACAUCAAUAAGCAAGGAUUCAUGGGAGGUCAUAUGAUUGCUACAUGCACUAUCUACAUACCAUAUAUUCAUACUUCUUCCAAUAGUAGCAGAAUGGCAGGCAUAAAACAUGGUUGCAUAUUCUAUUACCUGAUUCACAUAGUUUACAAGUUUUCCAGACUUGUUUGGUUGAUCACAAUCCUUGAUGAAAUGACCGAAACGAUUGCAUCCAUGACAUUUCGGCUUCCCUUUAAACCAGCACUCACCAUAGUGCAGUUUAUCACAAUGCUUGUAUUUUCCCUUAGACUGAUCAGAUUUUCCUCCUUGAUCAUAUUUGCCACCUCGAUUAGCAAGAUUCUGAGGUUUAGGAUCCCAUUUCUUUCCUUUUGAUUUCCAAUCCUUCUUUGGUUUAGAAUUACCAAACGAGAGAUUUGGUUGGGUUCCUUUUGAAUUCAGAUUCAGAGUACUGAAAGCUCUUUCAAUGGUACUCUCAGCAUGCCUAUCAAGGCGUUGUGCAAACCCUCUUAAUGCUGCAAUCACCUCUUGUACCUCAAUAGUUUCAAUAUCCUUGGUUUGUUCAAUUACAUAACAAACAGGAUCAAACUCCUUAGUUAAGCUUAUGAGCAAUUUCUGAACUAAUCGUUCUCUGGGUAAAUCUUCCCCAUAACCCUUCAUCUGAUUUACCAACUCGAGAAGACGAGUGAGAUACAUAGACAGAGUUUCAUCAUCCUUCAUCCUUGUGUACUCGAAAUCACGGCGUAGACCCUGCAACUUGAUGGAUCUCACUUGCUUAUCACCAUGAAAUUCCUGAUGUAGGAUAUCCCAAGCACCCUUUGAGGUCUCUUCGUUUGAGAUUCUGGGAAAGAUGUCAUCCGAGACAGCUCCUUGGAUUAUACCCAGUGCCUUAGCAUCCUUCAUUAGCUUGUCGCUCAGAGAAACUCUCUCUGACUCCGAUGAGCCUUCAUCUCCAAUCUUCUUAUCCUUCGAUUAUGAAAUUUCAAACCCCUUUUCAAACUAAAUCCCAGAUUCCAUGUGAUUUGAAAAUAGUUCUCAUUCGAAUCUUCCAAAAUUCAUAGUUGUCACCAUUGAAUAUUGGAGCCCGAAGAUCACUACCACCAGAUCCAGCCAUUUGAGACUUGAAUCGACAAAACUGAGUUGGAAAUUUCACGUUGGAUUUCCAAGCACAGCACUCACAGAUCUUACGCCCCGAUUCCAGAUAGAACCUGUGCUCUAGAUACCAUGUUAAGUUUUUAGUAAGCUGAUAUAUUCAGGAAUUGGAUUUUAAAGGAAGCUGAAAAGACAGAGAGGGUGAGAGGCAAGGUUUUUCACAACUGCAACUCUGUUACUAUGCAGAGAGCAACAUUUCAUUCAUAUACAUUCCUUUCUUUUACAUCAGACAUCAUAAUAUCCGUUCAAUUACACGAGUCAAUGUGAUUUUUGACACAUGGCAGAACAAAGCAUAUGAGCCAUUGAAAAAGAGUCUUGAUCUAAGACCAUACACUUGGCAUAUGAGCACAAGUUAUCACAUCAUAAAACAGCUACUCAAUAGAACAAAGAUAAAAUAGAUAAGUAAAUCAUUUACUAACUUGAAAUUAGUAAGCAAUUUACUUUUCAACAAUCACUAGCUAAGUCACCAAUCAAGGCAUAUGGAAUAUGACUAAUUUAAUUAAGAAGACCAUGUGAGUCCCACUUUGAUUGGUUGUUUAUUUUUCUAUCUUCUGAUAUGAUAUGUUUCUUGUCUUAGUAGAGUCAUGUUUUGAUCCAUCUCUCAUUUUUCUUAAUUAAAUUAUUAUCAAGUUUAUAUUAAUUGCGCCUAAACCACAUAUAUAUGAUAGUGCCUUAUGACUAUAUGAGAUACUAAUUAAUAUGAUUAGGUUUCUCUUUGGUGGUAGUGGUAUAAAAGCUUAUAUGAAUGAAUUCCCGUAACCUAAUACUGCUAAUCAUAUAAGUGGAGAAUAUAUAUAGUUGAUAUAUAUUUCAUGAACUAAUACAAGCAAAUGUAAUUAAUGCUAGUGACAUGUAUUAAUUGGCAAAAGUUUUUUACAUGCAUCAACUGUUAAGAGUUGUCAGAGAUUGCAAUAAGACAGAGCCUAAUAUUCUUCUCCAGCUAGAUAUAUUGUUUCUUAGCAUAAGAAUGUGAACAUGAUAUUCCACACAAAUAACGCCCCAUAUGAUAAGAGCAUCUUAGUAAAAUAGGCCAAUUUUUUAUGUCAUGUAGGCAAAAACAUGCUCAACUGGGUGUAGUUAAUUGGGUAGGCAAAUUUUACCCACUUCAACACUGCCCUACUUUCAACAUUAUAGGUAAAUUGGGUUUAACGUCUCUAUUUAUAGUAGAGUAUUUCAUGUGGACGAAGAAGAUAAAUUAAAAUAUAAAAGAUGAAAAAAAUAGUAAAUAAAAUUUUGUCUACUUAAUCUAUUACUUAUUUUAUUAGAGUAACACAUUUCAUAAAAUAAUUGUAAUACAUUUUUAUUUGAUUUGGCGUCAUUGGAAAGUGCGUGAAGGAUUUGAGCUUCUUCUCUACACUUCCAUGGGGCCAGGAAUACGUGCUGUAUAUUUUAUUACCGUCAUAUCAUCAAAAGAUCAAAAAAUAUAUAUGUGUUCUUACAAGUUUUACCAAAAGAAAUGGGAGUAGUGACGUCAGAUUUGUGUAGUUGCUUCUGCUCAAUGCGAUCUGCCAAAGUCGGAUGUACGUCAAACAACACAAUCUUCGCCUCUGAGUUGGGCCAAACUGCUUUUCUGCAACUGGAAGCUUCCUUUUUCGGCGUUUAGCUUUUACAAGUGGCAAAGUGUAGAAGCCAUUCCAGUUUUGACUAAAAAGUGGUUUUCAAUUUUACUAUUUUAGCGGGUUUCGGUUUUACGUUUACUUUGCGGCUUCUAGGGUUUCUUGCUUUUUACUGCCACAAGUGUAAUUGAUUAGGCUGUGUCGGAUUUUUACAGCUAACUAUGAUUAGGAGAAAGAUUAAGCGUAAAAAAAUGUUGUAAAUUUUGCCUUGUUUAUAACCCAGGAAAGAUUUGCUUUGCUUUUUUUAACAUGGAAUAUUGAUAUGUAUUUAAUUAACUACAUGAUAUUGAUACGUAUCCUUUUUAACUUAUCUCUACGCUUUGGUAUAAAUUGAACCAAUCAGAGGAGAAUGAAAACAUGAAAAUUGAUACCUUUUUUUUCAUUUUUGCCUUUAAUCAUGUUUUCGGCUUUUGCUUAUUAUAGUAUGUGGAUUCUAUGUCCAAUCCCACCCAAAAGAAUAGUAAUUGUGCUGCAUAAAUUGGCAUAUAGCGAAGCCCAAUCCAGUACAUACUAAUAAUUGGGUUCUAGCCCAAGCCUUGAAAAACAAUUUCAGGGGAGGAGUUAUAAGCAUAUACUAAUGUGAGAGACCAAGGAAUUAACAUUUGUUAUUCAUCAGUUCAAAUAUGUAUGAGAUGGAUAACCAUAUGAGUAUGUACAUCUAUCUACAUCUAUCACAAAAAUUGAUCGCAUAUCGUAUUGCAGAUGAGUUCUGCCUCCAUUACAGAUGUGGUUUUUUAUGUUCUCACCGCCGAACAAGUAGUUUGUGUUUGGGUUAAAACUUAAACUUUGGGCUUAAAAGGGAGUUGGCCCAAAAGGAGGAGAGAAGCCCGAAGCCUAGCCGAAUCCCAGGAGGCCGAAGAGGCCCUUUUCUGACUAGGUGCAGACCAUGUGAACCACUUGCUCACCUACCCAAAGACCAAAUGGUAUAGACCAGCCAGCUAAUCAGCCCAAAAGUACUUUACAAUGACAGUACAAGUAAAUAGCUGAUGAGUCACUACCCUUCAAGAUGCAUUCGGGCAGGAUUACUGCUACAGGAGGCCAAGCCGAAGUGUCUAUAAAAGAAGAAAGAGAAAUCAGAGUUAAGGACACUCAAUCAAACAAACAAAUACAAGCACAAACUCUGCUCAAAACCCUUUGUGAUAGCUCUGCUACCUUGUCCUAAGCUUGCUGUAGUAUCGAUUUCUUUCUGUAAACUCAUCUCCCUACCCCCAUUUCUAAAAGCUCAAACCCCUUGAUAAACCACAAAGAUAGGAAAUUGCAAGACGAUUAGCCUUACCCGACAAGGUUAAACCUUGCCUGAACCUCUUUGUUUUUGUCUUGUCAUUCAUUAGCCUAGCAAUAUGUUGUAUACUUCCAGUUGUAUUCAAGUUAUUUCUCGUAAGAUGACUAUUAAAAGACUCUCUCAGUGCUGGAAUCCAAUUUGAAUAUGUCUUCACAGUUCAAACCAGAUCUAAGUUCUAAGCUCUCGGGCAUGUAAAAUUGAUCAUUUAAAAGUCCUUGGUCUCAAGGCAGAAAAAAAACCUUAUGUGGACUUAACCCAUCCACGACAAGCUUUGAUAACAAGAAGUCCGAAGUUACUUGGGGUGCAAGUAAUCGAUUUAUUUCUUAGUUUUAUUUCUAUUACAUUAUGAUUAUAGUAGAACGUUUGAGUAUAGAAGGAAUUCUGAUGGGAAGCCUCAAGGCCUAUAUCUGAGGCCAUACAAAGGCAUCUAUUUGUAUUCAUUCUGCUCUACGGGUUCAGAUAAUCAGAAGUAUAAUGGUUAUAACACUUCUGCAAACAAUAAAACAGGCAUCGUAUAUUCGAGUACUGGGUUAGUUCUUGAUCGGAAGCCUCAAGGCCUACAUCUAAGGCCCCACAAAGGCACCCGUCAUAACUAACACGGUCGCUCGGGUAUAUGUGCAACUAAAAUUCAACAUCCAUUUUACAUCGGCCAUGCUAAAGAUAGCAGUGGCACGCCUGAGCACUUAAAAGUUAAUCUUGAUUGUGAGCCUUAAGGCCUACACCUAAGGCCCCACAANNNNNNNNNNNNNNNNNNNNNNNNNNNNNNNNNNNNNNNNNNNNNNNNNNNNNNNNNNNNNNNNNNNNNNNNNNNNNNNNNNNNNNNNNNNNNNNNNNNNNNNNNNNNNNNNNNNNNNNNNNNNNNNNNNNNNNNNNNNNNNNNNNNNNNNNNNNNNNNNNNNNNNNNNNNNNNNNNNNNNNNNNNNNNNNNNNNNNNNNNNNNNNNNNNNNNNNNNNNNNNNNNNNNNNNNNNNNNNNNNNNNNNNNNNNNNNNNNNNNNNNNNNNNNNNNNNNNNNNNNNNNNNNNNNNNNNNNNNNNNNNNNNNNNNNNNNNNNNNNNNNNNNNNNNNNNNNNNNNNNNNNNNNNNNNNNNNNNNNNNNNNNNNNNNNNNNNNNNNNNNNNNNNNNNNNNNNNNNNNNNNNNNNNNNNNNNNNNNNNNNNNNNNNNNNNNNNNNNNNNNNNNNNNNNNNNNNNNNNNNNNNNNNNNNNNNNNNNNNNNNNNNNNNNNNNNNNNNNNNUGGAAGAGGUGAAUGUCGGUUAACCUUACGCCCAUUUUAUGGAGAGGCUGCUCCCAAGUCUCGAACCCGAGACCUACCGCUCAUGAACCAGAAAUAGUAUGCAUAUCAUUAUUUAAUCGAGUCUUGGUAAACCUGAAGUCAUUUGGAAAAACAUAUUGCAAACCUAUUAAUGCCCCAUUUACGUGAGUAACUAACAUGUUCCAAAGCUACUUCCAUAUGAAUGCUUAACAAAAAAACAAACUUAUCUUGAACGCACUAAAAAUGUUUGAUAUCAUUGCAUCUCAUUAAUAUGGUUGUCCAAGAAUGAUAAUGUUUUGUUAUUUAUUGAGAUCACCAUUUCAUUCACUCUUCAUUCACAUUCUAUCAAACAAUUGGAAGACAUGGAUGGAACCAACUCUAAUCUUAAAAAUAGCAACAUCAAGGUAUCCAUGAAUAUACACUAAAGCUCGGAAGAUCGACACUCAAAGUAUCCAUAAACGUUCACCGAAGUUCGAAGGGUUAGCUGACCCCCUACCCCUCAAUGCAUCCGCCACUACUGUCAACCAAGUCGGAAACGAAGAUGUCAUUAAAUCUGUGCCACCACUUGCUGCAUCCAAUGGUUUCCAACUAGAAACUCCCUUCCCGGAAUGGCACCGCCGUGGUGUCCUCAGUGUCAGUGGCAUCCUUAAAUCUUGACAAAAAUGUUGAGAUAUUGGUAUCUCAACAUUGCUCUGUUUUCUAGGUCCGGCGACCAAUCAGAGGCGCCUAACGGAACCGGCAUAGGCUCGAACAGAACCUCAAAGAGGCAGAGAAAUUAUGCAGUACCUCAUCUCAAUCUGUUUAAACUUUAAAAUGCUGACACACGGAACAAAGUAUAUGGUGUAAUUCCAAACACACUCAUAUUACGAACUCUGUUUGAUUACGUUCGUAAAAUGCUCGGUUAUUCGAGUUAUUUGUUCCGUUGAUUCGCGUUUUUGAAGCCAAUUUUAUGAUAACAUAAACAAAAAUGGAAAUAAAACACAUAAUAUGCUUCAUUGAUCUGAAAAACCAACAAGCUUAUAAUACCACAACACAAACAUAACAAACACAUCCAGAAUACACCAACGAAGCCCUAAAAUCCACACACAAACCCUUAUGUUAUAAUCCCUGCACGAUUAUUCUCAUAACCCAAAUCACAGAAACAGUUUCAAGCAAUCUUGACCUCGAUUGUCUUCGGCUUCUUCGGCUCCGGCGGCGGCAGCUUCUGCACUGUGACAGUCAAAAACCCCAUCCUGGCAAACAGCAGAAAUCGCAUCCACAUUAGCAUUCUCCGGCAACACAAACUUCCUCAUGAACUUGCCGACCCUCCGCUCCAUCCUCACGUACUUAGCCCCUUCCUUCUCCUCCUCCCGCUUCCUCUCGCCGCUGAUCAGAAGCACAUUGUCGUCCUCCACCUGGACCUUGAUGUCCCCGGACUUCAGUCCCGGCAUGUCCACCACGAACACGUAGGAGGUCGGGUACUCCUUGACGUCUGCCGGCGUGGAGGCCAUGGCCUUGGCGUCGCGGAAGUAGGUCCGGGUGGGGGCGUUGAAGGAUUUCUCGGCGUCGUCGGCGGCGUCGAUGAUGUGCUGAAGUGUGGAGAAGAGCGGGGCAUCCAAACCCUGGAUUCUGACAUCCAUUCUUCC